RNAcentral lists this unclassified non-coding RNA (384 nucleotides) under uncultured fungus. Its description in RNAcentral is "partial contains 5.8S ribosomal RNA, internal transcribed spacer 2, and large subunit ribosomal RNA". Lineage: Eukaryota; Fungi. The record is from RNAcentral. RNAcentral also lists the same sequence under 1 other name.
AACGCACCUUGCACCCCUUGGCAUUCCGAGGGGUACACCCGUUUGAGUGUCGUGAAAUCAUCAAAAAAACCUUUUCUUCUUUUGAUCUUUUCUUGAUCAGGAAAAGGAUUUUUUGGACUUGGAGGUUCCAUGCUUGCUUUCAAAGGUGAAAGUGAGCUCCUCUCAAAUAAAUUAGUGGGGUCCGCUUUGCUGAUCCUUGAUGUGAUAAGAUGUUUCUACAUUUUGGAUUUUAGCACUGUCCCUUGGAUGCCUGCUCCUAACCGUCUUUUGGACAAUGAUGGUGCUCCGGUCCUUGUUGCCAUCUACACGUUGGCGGAAGGGGCUGGAACCACAAAAGAAAAAAACCUUGACCUCAAAUCGGGUGAGACUACCCGCUGAACUUAA